AGAGAGAGACAUGCGCGCAUAUCAAUAAGCGGAGGAAAAGAAACUAACAAGGAUUCCCUUAGUAACGGCGAGUGAAGCGGGAAGAGCUCAAAUUUGAAAUCUUCAAGGUUUUACCUUGACGAAUUGUAGUUUAAAGAAGUGUUUUCUGCUGAAGUUUUGGUAAAAGUUCUUUGGAAUAGGACAUCAUAGAGGGUGAGAAGUCCCGUAUUUGACCAUUAUUUUCAGCUUUGUGAUACACUUUCAAAGAGUCGGAUUGUUUGGGAAUGCAGUCCAAAAUGGGUGGUAAAUUUCAUCUAAAGCUAAAUAUUGGCGAGAGACCGAUAGCGAACAAGUACCGUGAGGGAAAGAUGAAAAGAACUUUGAAAAGAGAGUUAAACAGUACGUGAAAUUGUCAAAAGGGAAGCGUUUGACACCAGUGUUGUUUUCUCGAAAAUCAAUUAAAAAUGGCUCGAUUUUGUAUUGCUUGAGACCUUAAAAGCUCACGGUACAUUUUUCGUGUCUUUUUUAAUGCACUUUUCGUUUAACAAGUCAACAUCAGUUUCUUUUGUUGUAAAAGGGUCAUUGGAAGGUGGCUUUCUUUUCGGAGAAAGUGUUUAUAGCCUUUGGCCUCUGCAAUCGGAGAGACUGAGGUCUGCAGCGUAGACUCUUCGGGGUUAGAUACAUUUGUGCUAAGUUAUAGCUUUUUAUAGACAACUUGUUGACUAUAAUUAGUCUUGUAGCUUACUCGCUUAUGCUAUUUUACCUACGCUUAGGAUGUUGAAGUCAUCGUAUCGCGC
Molecule: ribosomal RNA, 776 nt
Filed under: uncultured Neocallimastigales
Lineage: Eukaryota; Fungi; Neocallimastigomycota; Neocallimastigomycetes; Neocallimastigales
Description: partial large subunit ribosomal RNA
Rfam family: Eukaryotic large subunit ribosomal RNA
Source: RNAcentral